Molecule: ribosomal RNA, 326 nt
Filed under: uncultured eukaryote
Lineage: Eukaryota
Description: partial 18S ribosomal RNA
Rfam family: Eukaryotic small subunit ribosomal RNA
Source: RNAcentral
CCCUUAGAUGUUCUGGGCUGCACGCGCGCUACACUGAUGCACUCAACGAGUUUACGACCUUGCCCGAUAGGGUUGGGUAAUCUUUUUAAAAUGCAUCGUGAUGGGGAUAGAUUAUUGCAAUUAUUAAUCUUCAACGAGGAAUUCCUAGUAAGCGCGAGUCAUCAGCUCGUGCUGAUUACGUCCCUGCCCUUUGUACACACCGCCCGUCGCUCCUACCGAUUGAGUGCUCAGGUGAAUAAUUCGGACUGCAGCAAUGUUUGGAUCCCGAACGUUGCAGCUGAAAGUUUAGUGAACCUUAUCACUUAGAGGAAGGAGAAGUCGUAACA